GCCGGAGAACCGUCCAACCUCGUGAAUUCGAUGUCGUCCGAGUCCGAUCGAAUCGAACUGAAAACUUUCAACAACGGAUCUCUUGGUUCUGGCAUCGAUGAAGAACGCAGC
RNAcentral lists this ribosomal RNA (111 nucleotides) under Sticta macrophylla. RNAcentral describes it as "5.8S ribosomal RNA". The stretch from base 63 to 111 matches the Rfam family "5.8S ribosomal RNA", at positions 1 to 49 of the family's 154-position model. The record is from RNAcentral. Lineage: Eukaryota; Fungi; Ascomycota; Lecanoromycetes; Peltigerales; Lobariaceae.